CAGUCGCCGCGGGAAUACGUAGGUGGCAAGCGUUGUCCGGAAUUAUUGGGCGUAAAGCGCGCGCAGGCGGAUCAGUUAGUCUGUCUUAAAAGUUCGGGGCUUAACCCCGUGUGGGGAUGGAAACUGCUGAUCUAGAGUAUCGGAGAGGAAAGUGGAAUUCCUAGUGUAGCGGUGAAAUGCGUAGAGAUUAGGAGGAACACCAGUGGCGAAGGCGGCUUUUUGGCCUGUAACUGACACUGAGGCGCGAAAGCUAGGGGAGCAAAUGGGAUUAGAUACCCCCGUAGUCCCUGUCUCUUAUACA
RNAcentral lists this ribosomal RNA (301 nucleotides) under uncultured bacterium. RNAcentral's name for it is "partial 16S ribosomal RNA". It matches the Rfam family "Bacterial small subunit ribosomal RNA", at positions 509 to 808 of the family's 1533-position model. The record is from RNAcentral.